ACGUAGGUGGCAAGCGUUAUCCGGAAUUACUGGGCGUAAAGCGUGCGUAGACGGUUGCGUAAGUCAGAUGUGAAAGCCCCGGGCUCAACCUGGGAACUGCAUUCGAGACUGCAUUGCUAGAGUAUGGGAGAGGGAAGUGGAAUUUCCGGUGUAGCGGUGAAAUGCGUAGAUAUCGGAAGGAACAUCAGUGGCGAAAGCGACUUCCUGGACCAAUACUGACGCUCAUGUGCGAAAGCGUGGGGAGCAAACAGGA
RNAcentral lists this ribosomal RNA (253 nucleotides) under uncultured prokaryote. Its description in RNAcentral is "partial 16S ribosomal RNA". It matches the Rfam family "Bacterial small subunit ribosomal RNA", at positions 525 to 777 of the family's 1533-position model. The record is from RNAcentral.